Molecule: long non-coding RNA, 450 nt
Organism: Brassica napus (rape)
Lineage: Eukaryota; Viridiplantae; Streptophyta; Magnoliopsida; Brassicales; Brassicaceae
Exons: 2
Source: RefSeq, a predicted model, not a curated record
UUGACGUUCUCUUGCUCCAUCACAAGCAUGUUACCAUACUCCAUAAGCUUCUCAAGAGUCAUCUCCGGCUGCUCGAACACUGGAGGACCUUCCCUCGAGUUCACCAGCCUCUUGCUGAUCUUCUCCACUCCAAGUCCCUCAACGAACUUCCUCACCUCAUCAUCGUACACUCUCGCCCUCAAUGCACCAAAGAAAUCUACAAGAAAAUCAAGAAUCGUAUUAAGAGACACCAACAAACAUAAAAGGUACUAAUAUUUUUUUUUUAUUACCGAUGGAUUGGCCAGGGAACUGGUCAACAAGCGUGACAAUGUCUUCAUCCUUGAUCUUGUCGGUCCUGAAGAUACCCUUGCAGACACCGAUACGGUCCUCACGGGUCGGGGCCCAGUAGAACUUCUCCAUACGUCCAUCACGGAUGAGAGGAGCGUAGAGGGUGGAGAAAUCGUUACCGGU